UACGUAGGGUGCAAGCGUUAAUCGGAAUUACUGGGCGUAAAGCGUGCGCAGGCGGUUAUGUAAGACAGGUGUUAAAUCCCUCGGCUUAACCGGGGAACUGCGUCUGAUACUGGAUGGCUUGAGGUUGGGAGAGGGAUGCGGAAUUCCAGGUGUAGCGGUGAAAUGCGUAGAUAUCUGGAGGAACACCGGUGGCGAAGGCGGCAUCCUGGACCAAUUCUGACGCUGAGGAGCGAAAGCCAGGGGAGCAAACGGG
RNAcentral lists this ribosomal RNA (253 nucleotides) under uncultured bacterium. RNAcentral describes it as "partial 16S ribosomal RNA". It matches the Rfam family "Bacterial small subunit ribosomal RNA", at positions 524 to 776 of the family's 1533-position model. The record is from RNAcentral.